This 253-nucleotide ribosomal RNA is filed under the name uncultured bacterium. RNAcentral describes it as "partial 16S ribosomal RNA". It matches the Rfam family "Bacterial small subunit ribosomal RNA", at positions 524 to 776 of the family's 1533-position model. The record is from RNAcentral.
UACGUAGGGUGCGAGCGUUAAUCGGAAUUACUGGGCGUAAAGCGUGCGCAGGCGGUUUUGUAAGCCAGAUGUGAAAUCCCCGGGCUUAACCUGGGAAUGGCAUUUGGGACUGCAAGGCUGGAGUGUGGCAGAGGAGACUGGAAUUCCUGGUGUAGCAGUGAAAUGCGUAGAUAUCAGGAGGAAUACCGGUGGCGAAGGCGGCAUUCUGGACUGUAACUGACACUGAGGAACGAAAGCCAGGGGAGCAAACGGG